UUAUGCCUCAGUCUUCAUCUGUAUUUGUAAGACGACUGUGUAUCUGUUCUGGGUUAUGCUAAUUAAAUCUAUAACACAAGGCCCGCACGUUACUUGUCUGACUCCUGAGUUCCAGUCGUUUCUACUCCUGUGACACACAGGCUCGGUUCAUACUCCUGAGAAGAGUUUACUGCAGCACUUCAGGAUUUGAGGUUUCUCUGUUGCACUGGAUCCUCAUCCCUAAUGCAGCUAAUACGUGGAAGAAGAACAAGCUUUCCUAUUCCUUGCCUUAAUCCCCUGCGUGGUUGCUUAGGGUGAAUCAUUAACCAAGCACCUAAGUAUGGUGAAGCAAAAAUGUUUGUUGAGUGUCUUUGCAGACAGCAUGGAGUGGAGGCCUUCUGCAGGAGGAAUGGCUCUGCUCUCAUGCAGGAGCUGCAGCACUGCCAUCUGCUCGCUCAACCGCUUCCUCCAGCUCUACACCUCUGCUUAUGCACUGAUGGGCUGAAGCUGCUCCUGCUUUUGGGAUGAGAAAAGGGAACGGUAGAUGUAUCCUGGAGAAAGGAUUUAAGAGAUCUUUCUGUUUGCCUUGGGCUGUGAUUUCCUGUGGGCAAUGAUGGAGGAACAGCACGGUCUAGAUAAACUCUACUUAACUUGCUUAUUGGGAUGGAGGUGGAUUGGCAUUGUCCUUUUUCCAGGAGUCAAGACUGAAGAAUUACAGAAAUACUGCAGUGUUAUCAAGUGGCCUCCAGGAAUCCCAGGCCACUGAGAAGAGAUGAAAAAACUAGAUGAAAGAAGAUUGGAUGGUGGCAGAAAAGAGCCAAGCUGGGGAGCACUUAUAUUGGAUAUAUGUACAUCUGGGGGUCCUGAUGGGUUGCACUCAGGAAUGCUGACGGUACUAAAUGAUGUCACUGUGAUCUUUGAAUGGUCAUGAUAACUGGCAGAGAUUCCUGAUGAAUGGAGCAGAGAAAAUAUAUUCAAGAAGGUCAGGAAGGAAAAUCUGAGGGACUGUCAGACAGUCAGCCUCACCUCAGUGCCUGGGAAGGUGAUGGAAAACAUUGUCCUGAGAAUUUGGCUAUUUCCAAAUACAUGAAGGACAAGAAUGUGAUCAGGAGCAUUCAGCACGGAUUUAUGAAGGGACAGUAAUGCUUUACCGACCUGAUAGCCAUCUACAGUAAGAUGAAGAGGUCUGCACCACCUGAUCUCUCUUUCAACCUCAAAAACUCUGCUGCUCUGUGAUUUGCUAGUCUCCUGCUUAUAUAAUCAUCAGAUACCACACAACAGAUCAUUUAAGCAAAUAUGGUAGGAAGGAAAGUAUCAAGGUUACCGACUGGAUUCCUGGAGCAGAUGAGUAGACCUUCAUGGCCAGACAACAGAGCAAGCUGACGAAGUCCAUGUAGCCAACUCUGCAGUCAAAACCAAAGUGCUGGGACUCAGAAGGUCUCGCUUGUUAAUUUGACUGUGUGUAAACAAAGAAAUGCUGUUGGCCCUAUUAAUCUCAGCGCAGGCCUGAGGGAUAAUGGCAGAUGACUCAUGGACCAGACACCAGUGACAACGCAUUACUCCGUGUCUGUUGGCCAAGUGCUACUGACUGAAAUCACUGGCUCUACCUCAAUUCACUGCAGCAAAGUGUCUGGUCUUGCUUGGAUUUGCUUGAGAAAUGACCUUUAUUUUUCUUAUCCACAUUCUCACCUUAUGCAGUCUCCAUGUGUGUGCCAAAGUCACCUCCCCUGCAAGGGUGGACAGAUUUAGAGAUGCUCAAAAUGGCACAGGUUCACAGACAUCUCUUAUCUCCAUAAAACUCCUAGAGAGCAUCCAGAGGAGGGCUAAGAAGAUGGUGAAGGUUCUGGAGGAUUCUUUCCAACUCAAGGUAUUCUGUGAUCCUAAAAGAGGGGCAGCAGCCAGCAAGGAUGGAAUCAUCACAAAGGGGAGAAAUUGCACUUAAUGGGAGGCAGCCAGGGUGCUUGGUGCACUU
RNAcentral lists this long non-coding RNA (1951 nucleotides) under Gallus gallus (chicken). RNAcentral's name for it is "lncRNA (ENSGALG00010021511.1)". The record is from RNAcentral. Lineage: Eukaryota; Metazoa; Chordata; Aves; Galliformes; Phasianidae.